RNAcentral lists this transfer RNA (62 nucleotides) under Proasellus meridianus. RNAcentral describes it as "transfert RNA-L2(TTA)". Lineage: Eukaryota; Metazoa; Arthropoda; Malacostraca; Isopoda; Asellidae. The record is from RNAcentral.
UCUAGUGUAGUCAAACCAAUGACGUAAGAUUUAAGCUCUUAAGGUAUAAAUUAUCCCUAGAA